GGUUACUUUCUCAGCUGUAACCAGGAGGCAGGGAAGAAGGCAAUGCAGUCCUCAUUCUUUAGAGACUCAACCUGUGUCCCCAGCCCUCCCCACCUCCUCCCACACCCCCCUCCAAACUCAGCUUGGCUGGGAAAGGAAACUCCCCAGUCUGCUGUGCUCCUGCAAGCUGAGUGUUUGCAGGUGAAUCUACUCCAGGCCGUGAGCGCCCCAGAGGUGGGAACUAUAUCUUAGUCACCCUUGUACUUUCAAGCCUCACAAUGGGACCUGCCGAAAAAAGGGCACUCAGUAAACGUCUUGUGAACGCAUGAAUUGGGCAGCUGUUGGUGUACGUGUUUUGUUUCUGAUGCUGAGACCCUUCCUGAACCGGAUCUCCAUCCCUUCACUGAGCAGGGUUCACACAUAUUUAUGUUGGAGUGCAAAGGCUUCCGAUGCCCGGACACGUGUCCUCCAAUCUGAGAAGGGAACCAGGGAAGGGGCUGGAGUUGAUGCAUCUUGACUUAAGGGCUGAAGAGUUGGCAAUUUUGGAGGCCAGUGAAGAGCCACGUAGAAAAUGUCCCGCUGCCUGCCAUCAU
This 572-nucleotide long non-coding RNA is filed under the name Homo sapiens (human). RNAcentral describes it as "PEBP4 antisense RNA 1". The record is from RNAcentral. Lineage: Eukaryota; Metazoa; Chordata; Mammalia; Primates; Hominidae.